Molecule: ribosomal RNA, 480 nt
Filed under: uncultured bacterium
Lineage: Bacteria
Description: bacterial SSU rRNA
Rfam family: Bacterial small subunit ribosomal RNA
Source: RNAcentral
AUUGAACGCUGGCGGAAUGCUUUACACAUGCAAGUCGAACGGUAGAGGGGGCAACCCCCUUGAGAGUGGCGAACGGGUGAGUAAUAUAUCGGAACGUGCCCAGUCGUGGGGGAUAACGUAGCGAAAGUUACGCUAAUACCGCAUACGAUCUAAGGGUGAAAGCGGGGGAUCGCAAGACCUCGCGCGAUUGGAGCGGCCGAUAUCAGAUUAGGUAGCUGGUGAGGUAAAGGCUCACCAAGCCAACGAUCUGUAGCUGGUCUGAGAGGACGACCAGCCACACUGGAACUGAGACACGGUCCAGACUCCUACGGGAGGCAGCAGUGGGGAAUUUUGGACAAUGGACGCAAGUCUGAUCCAGCCAUUCCGCGUGCAGGAUGAAGGCCCUCGGGUUGUAAACUGCUUUUGUACGGACGAAAAGGUUUGUCUUAAUACGAUGAGCUCAUGACGGUACCGUAAGAAUAAGCACCGGCUAACUACGUG